UACGGGGGGAGCAAGCGUUGUUCGGAUUUACUGGGCGUAAAGAGCUCGUAGGCGGUUUGUCGCGUCUGCUGUGAAAACUCGGGGCUUAACCCCGGGCCUGCAGUGGGUACGGGCAGACUAGAGUGCGGUAGGGGAGACUGGAAUUCCUGGUGUAGCGGUGAAAUGCGCAGAUAUCAGGAGGAACACCGGUGGCGAAGGCGGUUCUCUGGGCAUGACCUGACGCUGAGGAGCGAAAGUGUGGGGAGCGAACAGG
This 253-nucleotide ribosomal RNA is filed under the name uncultured bacterium. Its description in RNAcentral is "partial 16S ribosomal RNA". It matches the Rfam family "Bacterial small subunit ribosomal RNA", at positions 524 to 776 of the family's 1533-position model. The record is from RNAcentral.